CGUGCACUGGUGGGGUCCCUUGGCCUGGCCUGCGCCCUCUCAAAAUUCGGGACCCCUCAGGGAUGUUGGACUGCCAGUUUUGGCCCGAUCCCUGCAGGCCAGGCCGAGGGACCCCACCAGUGCACG
Molecule: non-coding RNA, 126 nt
Organism: Myotis brandtii (Brandt's bat)
Lineage: Eukaryota; Metazoa; Chordata; Mammalia; Chiroptera; Vespertilionidae
Source: Rfam